AUUGAACGCUGGCGGCAGGCCUAACACAUGCAAGUCGAACGAGUGGCGGACGGGUGAGUAAUGUCUGGGAAACUGCCUGAUGGAGGGGGAUAACUACUGGAAACGGUAGAUAAUACCGCAUACCAUCGGAUGUGCCCAGAUGGGAUUAGCUUGUAGGUGAGGUAACGGCUCACCUAGGAGACGAUCCCUAGCUGGUCUGAGAGGAUGACCACACACACUGGAAAUGAGACACGGUCAAGACUCCUAGGGAAGUCAGCAGUGGGGAAUAGUGCACAAUGGGCGCAAGCCUGAUGGAGCCAUGCCGCGUGUAUGAAGAAGGCCUUCGGGUUGUAAAGUACUUUCAGCGGGGAGGCGUUACCCGCAGAAGAAGCACCGGCUAACUCCGGGCCAGCCGCCGCGGUAAUAC
Molecule: ribosomal RNA, 406 nt
Filed under: uncultured bacterium
Lineage: Bacteria
Description: partial 16S ribosomal RNA
Rfam family: Bacterial small subunit ribosomal RNA
Source: RNAcentral